This 468-nucleotide ribosomal RNA is filed under the name uncultured bacterium. Its description in RNAcentral is "partial 16S ribosomal RNA". It matches the Rfam family "Bacterial small subunit ribosomal RNA", at positions 28 to 507 of the family's 1533-position model. The record is from RNAcentral.
GACGAACGCUGGCGGCGUGCUUAACACAUGCAAGUCGAACGGUGAUGCUCCAGCUUGCUGGAGUGGAUCAGUGGCGAACGGGUGUGUAACACGUGAGCAACCUGCCCCAGACUCUGGAAUAAGCGCUGGAAACGGCGUCUAAUACUGGAUACGAAACUGGCCCGCAUGGGCAUGGUUUGGAAAGUUUUUCGGUUUGGGAUGGGCUCGCGGCCUAUCAGCUUGUUGGUGAGGUAAUGGCUCACCAAGGCGACGACGGGUAGCCGGCCUGAGAGGGCGACCGGCCACACUGGGACUGAGACACGGCCCAGACUCCUACGGGAGGCAGCAGUGGGGAAUAUUGCACAAUGGGCGAAAGCCUGAUGCAGCGACGCCGCGUGAGGGAUGACGGCCUUCGGGUUGUAAACCUCUUUCAGCAGGGAAGAAGCGAAAGUGACGGUACCUGCAGAAGAAGCACCGGCUAACUACGUG